ACCCGCUGAAUUUAAGCAUAUAAGUAGGCGGUGGAAAAUGAACCAAAUGGGAUUCCUUAAGUAAUUGCGAAUGAACAAGGAAAUGCUCAGCUUGAAAAAUGGGGCCUUCGGCUUUGAAUUGUAAUUUUGAAAUGUAUUGCCAAUGGAGGCGCAGGUGCAAGCCUAUUGAAAGAAAGCGUCAAUGAGGGUGAGAUUCCUUUUUGUCAUUUGCAGUCCUCCGUGCACGGUAUAUAUUUGACGAGUCACACUCCUCGGCAUUGGAAUGCAAAGUGGGUGGUAAAUUCCAUGUAAAGGUAAAUAUAUUAUUGAGACUGAUAGCAAACAAGUACCAUGAGGGAAAUAUGAAAAGGACUUUGAAAAGAGAAUUAAAAGAGUCUGCAUUUGCUGAACAGAAAGCAAACAGAAUUGAUCUUACUUGGUGAGAUUGUUGUGCCCACUUUAGCAUUUAUAUGUUGGAUGUGGGUGCGAUGGUUCUUGCCUUGAAUGUCAGCUUCUAUUUCUGCAAAUCAUUACCCUUGCACGUGAAUGGUAAUUUGCCUGUGGGUAUUGGAAUGCAUGUGUUUGCAAUGAUUUGUGAUUUGAUAUGUGUGAUUGGUGCUACUUGCGUGUUGCUCCUUUGUCAACGGGGAAGGCUGUCUUCCUUGAGCCCGCAAGCCCAAACACCUUACUGCUGGCAAAAUGUUUCUGCUUGACCCGUCUUGAAACACGGUCCAAGG
RNAcentral lists this ribosomal RNA (716 nucleotides) under Alexandrium insuetum. RNAcentral describes it as "LSU rRNA". It matches the Rfam family "Eukaryotic large subunit ribosomal RNA", at positions 23 to 671 of the family's 3401-position model. The record is from RNAcentral. Lineage: Eukaryota; Dinophyceae; Gonyaulacales; Pyrocystaceae.